Molecule: long non-coding RNA, 438 nt
Organism: Salvia miltiorrhiza (redroot sage)
Lineage: Eukaryota; Viridiplantae; Streptophyta; Magnoliopsida; Lamiales; Lamiaceae
Exons: 3
Source: RefSeq, a predicted model, not a curated record
GUUUCUUCCUAAGUUCCUCCUGCAUUGUUAAGCAAACAAAAUACACAAUUUGUUUUCAGCUAUCUUCUCAUUGAACUCAACAUCACCGCAGCCAACCAAAAGCACAAACAUUCAAGGUUAAGGCGAGAGUAAGAGCCAGUUAAGAAGUCAUUGAGCUAUAGCAAAGUUUGGUAAUCAGAUUGAGCAGUUGCCGAUGGUGAUGAAGUGACGAGCGGGAUUAUUUUGUCUUAUUAUGUAUUAAUGAACUCUAGGGUUACAUGUCUUCAUACAUGUAAUCAGAACCUUAUUCCGCUGCGUACUCAGAAGUUUUAUGUUUAUUUGGCUAAGUCAGAGAUAUCUGAACUUACUAGUUAUUUGAGUCUAUACGACUAAACUUCUGUUAUAUUAUAAAUAUUCCUUUUGUUAAAUGAUGAAAUGUGAUCCUUUCUUGUUUGAUUA